RNAcentral lists this transfer RNA (88 nucleotides) under Bacteroidota bacterium. Its description in RNAcentral is "Bacteroidetes bacterium (mine drainage metagenome) tRNA-Ser". It matches the Rfam family "tRNA". From Rfam's summary of the family: Transfer RNA (tRNA) molecules are approximately 80 nucleotides in length. Their secondary structure includes four short double-helical elements and three loops (D, anti-codon, and T loops). RNAcentral also lists the same sequence under 1 other name. Lineage: Bacteria; Pseudomonadati; Bacteroidota. The record is from RNAcentral.
GGAGAGAUGGCUGAGCGGUUUAAAGCGGCGGUCUUGAAAACCGUUGUACCGAAAGGUACCGGGGGUUCGAAUCCCUCUCUCUCCGCCA